UGUAGUUCGAAAAUAUAUUUCUUUGACGACGUGAUCAGACUCUAUUGCUUGCGGGAUAGAGUUUGAAACUUUGUGAGGUAAAAGUUCCGAUUUUUGAAUAGAGUUUGAAACUUUGUGAGGUAAAAGUUCCGAUUUUUGAGAUCUUUCCUUUGAAUUUUUUUGGGUUGUAUUUUUUUUUUUCCUUGUAAAAGUUCCAAUUUUUGAGAUAUUUCCUUCGAUUUUUUUGGGUUGUAUUAUUAUUAUUAUUGCUUGUAAAAGUUUCGAUUUUUUAUAUUUUUCCUUCGAUAUUUUUUGGGUUGUGAUUUUUAUUUAUUUAUUUAUUUAUAUUUUAUUUGAAAUCUGAAGCAAACAUACAUUCACGGUAAAAGUUCAGAUUUUGAGAUAUUUUUACUUCGAAUUUUUGUCGGUUGUGAAAUUUGUUUAGGGGAAAGUUGAAGCAAACAUGCUCACUGUAGAUUUUUGUCCUCGUCGGGUCUCACUCCAGGUAAAAGUUCGGAUUUUUUUUAUAUUUUUCCAUCAAAUUUUUUUGGUUUAUGAAUAUUUUUUUUUUUUUUUUUUUUUUUUUUUGUAGUUAAAGCAAACACACAUUCACGAUAAAAGUUCCAAUUUUUUAUAUUUUACUUUGAAUUAUUGUCUGUUAUGAUUUUUGUUUUUGUUUUGAAAGUUCAAGCCAAUUUUUGAUAUUUUACUUUGAAUUAUUGUCUGUUAUGAUUUUUGUUUUUGUUUUGAAAGUUCAAGCAAACAUACUUAUUGUAUAAUUUUGUCCCCACCUGGUCUCGAAACUAUAAUAUUUCUAUUUUUCAUCAUUUUCUAUUUUUUUGAAAUUUUUGUUGUUAUAAGGGCAUUUUCGUCUUUUACCGUUUUGCGUGCCGGACACUGCGGAGUGUGCCGGUUAUGUCCGAGAGUUGUUUGGAGCAUUUCAUUGAGUACAGAACUCUUUGAAAUACAAGGGUGAUCGUUUUAGCAUUUUUUCGUUUUUUGGGCCGAACAGUCCUGUGUGGAACCCGUUACUGGAAUUGUUGCAUGAGGGAAUUUUAAUUAGGUUCAUUUACAUCAUAUUUAUUUUAUUUAAUGUGUUUAAAAUAGUUGUAAUUUAAUAAGUGUAUGUAUAUACAUAUAUGUAUGUGUGUGGUGUAAAAAAAAAAAAAAUAAAAAGAAAAGAAAUUUUUUUUUUUUUGCUGGGGACCACUAGCACAUUAAGUGGUCAAGAGACCACAUUUGUUUUUUUGGUCUGAAACUUCUCUCUUCUCCCACUGGUCUCUCUCACUCUCGGAUUCCAUUUUUCUUUUUUUCUUUUGCUUCAAAUUUUGAAUCUUGUUUUCUCCUUCAAUAUUUAGUAUUUUUUAAUGUCGUUUGUAGCAAAUUGAAGCCCACAACGAGAUCUUCAAAUCCAUACCAGCAAUUUCAGCUUUUGGCCACUCUAGGAAGUUUGAAAAUUAAUACUCAUUUUUAGGGUUUGAGGUGAAAAUUGGGGCUUUUGGCUUAGAUUGAGGAAAUGGGAAAAAAGUGACAGAUGACAUUCCACCACAGGCCUAAUUUGGACUAAAAGACCAUUUUGCUAUUUUUGUAUCUAAGUCCCAUAUAAUUAUACCUAUGGGCUGUAACUUUUAUAUAAGUUGUUUGAAUGUUGUAAAGCAUGGACAUUUGAUCUUAAUAUUGUAUUUUGGGACUAUAAUUAUGAUAUUUGAAUGAAAUGGUAUGUAGUUGUACCACCAUGGAAUGAACUAA
Long non-coding RNA from Cornus florida, 1728 nucleotides. RefSeq lists it as uncharacterized. The record is from RefSeq and is a predicted model, not a curated record. The transcript has 2 exons. Lineage: Eukaryota; Viridiplantae; Streptophyta; Magnoliopsida; Cornales; Cornaceae.